Molecule: ribosomal RNA, 254 nt
Filed under: uncultured bacterium
Lineage: Bacteria
Description: partial 16S ribosomal RNA
Rfam family: Bacterial small subunit ribosomal RNA
Source: RNAcentral
UACGUAGGGGGCAAGCGUUGUCCGGAUUUAUUGGGCGUAAAGAGCGUGUAGGCGGCCAAGCAGGUCCGCUGUGAAAACUCGAGGCUCAACCUCGAGACGUCGGUGGAAACCGUUUGGCUAGAGUCCGGAAGAGGAGAGUGGAAUUCCUGGUGUAGCGGUGAAAUGCGCAGAUAUCAGGAAGAACACCAAUGGCGAAGGCGGGUUGCUGGGCUGACACUGACGCUGACAGCGCGAAAGCUAGGGGAGCGAACGGG